AAUGAGAGUCUGACGGAGCACGCCGCGUGAGUGAUGAAGGCUUUCGGGUCGUAAAACUCUGUUGUUAGGGAAGAACAAGUGCUAGUUGAAUAAGCUGGCACCUUGACGGUACCUAACCAGAAAGCCACGGCUAACUACGUGCCAGCAGCCGCGGUAAUACGUAGGUGGCAAGCGUUAUCCGGAAUUAUUGGGCGUAAAGCGCGCGCAGGUGGUUUCUUAAGUCUGAUGUGAAAGCCCACGGCUCAACCGUGGAGGGUCAUUGGAAACUGGGAGACUUGAGUGCAGAAGAGGAAAGUGGAAUUCCAUGUGUAGCGGUGAAAUGCGUAGAGAUAUGGAGGAACACCAGUGGCGAAGGCGACUUUCUGGUCUGUAACUGACACUGAGGCGCGAAAGCGUGGGGAGCAAACAGGCUUAGAUACCCUGGUAGUCCACGCCGUAAACGAUGAGUGCUAMGUGUUAGACGGGUUUCCGCCCUUUAGUGCUGAAGUUAACGCAUUAAGCACUCCGCCUGGGGAGUACGGCCGCAAGGCUGAAACUCAAAGGAAUUGACGGGGGCCCGCACAAGCGGUGGAGCAUGUGGUUUAAUUCGAAGCAACGCGAAGAACCUUACCAGGUCUUGACAUCCUCUGAAAACCCUAGAGAUAGGGCUUCUCCUUCGGGAGCAGAGUGACAGGUGGUGCAUGGUUGUCGUCAGCUCGUGUCGUGGAGAUGUUGGGUUAAGUCCCGCAACGAGGGCAACCCUUGAUCUAG
This 750-nucleotide ribosomal RNA is filed under the name Bacillus sp. MAN10. RNAcentral describes it as "bacterial SSU rRNA". It matches the Rfam family "Bacterial small subunit ribosomal RNA", at positions 374 to 1113 of the family's 1533-position model. The record is from RNAcentral. Lineage: Bacteria; Bacillati; Bacillota; Bacilli; Caryophanales; Bacillaceae.